RNAcentral lists this ribosomal RNA (253 nucleotides) under uncultured bacterium. Its description in RNAcentral is "partial 16S ribosomal RNA". It matches the Rfam family "Bacterial small subunit ribosomal RNA", at positions 524 to 776 of the family's 1533-position model. The record is from RNAcentral.
GACAGAGGUGCCGAGCGUUAGGCGGAAUCACUGGGCUUAAAGCGUGUGUAGGCGGGCCGUUAAGUAUCUUGUGAAAUCCCCCGGCUCAACCGGGGAAUGGCUGGAUAUACUGGCGGUCUUGAGCGAUCUAGGGGCAGAUGGAACAAGUGGUGGAGCGGUGAAAUGCGUAGAUAUCACUUGGAACGCCAAAGGUGAAAACAGUCUGCUGGGGAUCUGCUGACGCUGAGACACGAAAGCCAGGGGAGCGAACGGG